ACCUGGUUCCACACUACAAAGACGCAGAGGACACCCGACCACCAGACCACUGUACUGGUUUCAGUCCGUGGUCAGCUGGCUCCAAGGCAGAAUGGUAGAAAACCAUGGCAGACAAAAAGGUGUUCAAGCUAAGGCAUCCAGGCAGCAGGGUGAGAAGGGAGGAACUGAGGACAAGGACUCACCCUUCCAGGUCACGCGCCAGGGACCACCUCCAACCAGACCCUACCUUCUACAGCACAUUGAGCUAUGGACUCAUGGAUGGACAAACCCACUGAAGAGAAUAGCACCACCAUGAUCCAAUCACUCGCUAAACAGAAACUGUGCAUAAACAGAUUUUCCUGAGCUCCUUGCUUCUCUAAUCUCUCCAGGAAUCAUGCCCGAAGGCCUCCUUCCCCAAAUAAACACACAACACAGUCUGUUUCAUGGGCAAUUUUGAAACAGGAUGAUGACUUUCUGACACAACAAGACUAAUUUUGCAAGGAAGUAGGAUGACAGAGGGAACUUGCUAAGGGAGUAUUUUUGGGGGGAAUUAUGGGGAAUGGCAUGGCAGAAGAAUCUCAUACAGCAGUGAAGGAAAAUGUGGACACUUCCCUCCAAAUGGGAAGGGUAAAAUCUUUACUUCUUGAAAGAGAAAUGAUGAUAUAACUCAGGUGAAUGAUUAUUGUGGGCCUCAGGAAGUAUAUGGCCCAUCAUCUAUUUUGAUAAUUGAACUUUCAUGGAA
Heterocephalus glaber (naked mole-rat) is the source of this 721-nucleotide long non-coding RNA. The record is from Ensembl. NCBI's taxonomy places the organism in Eukaryota, Metazoa, Chordata, Mammalia, Rodentia, Bathyergidae.